Molecule: ribosomal RNA, 819 nt
Filed under: Physciella chloantha
Lineage: Eukaryota; Fungi; Ascomycota; Lecanoromycetes; Caliciales; Physciaceae
Description: SSU rRNA
Rfam family: Bacterial small subunit ribosomal RNA
Source: RNAcentral
CUGAACCAGCAACUUGGAGGAAUGUAUAGCGAAAGCUAGCUGCAUUUAACUUAGCUAGAGUUGGUGUAGUAUUGACUAUGUCGAAUAAAGUUCUAGAUGGGUUAUGAUGAUGACAUUUCCCAUCUAUGUGUCUUGACCAAAUUACGUGCCAGCAGUCGCGGUAACACGUAAAAGACUAGUGUUAUUCAUCUUUAAUAGGUUUAAAGGGUACCUAGACGGUAAAUCAAGUCCGAGAAGGAUACUAAUUUGACUAGAGUUUAAUAUGAAGGGGCUACAAAAGUACUUAUAAGUGGAGAGAUGAAAUUCUGUGAUACUAUAUAUGGCACUGGUAAAGGCGAAGGCAUCCCAAUAUGUAAUAACUGACGUUGAGGGACGAAGGCUAUGUGUAGCAAAAAGGAUUAGAUACCCUUGUAGUUUUAGCAGAAAAUUAUGAAUGUCAUAGGAUAGAACAACAAAUUUUUUUCUAUAAAUGAAAGUGUAAGCAUUCCACCUCGAGAGUAAUAUGGCAACAUUGGAACUGAAAUCAUUAGACCGUUUUUGAAACAAGUAGUGAAGUAUGUUGUUUAAUUUGAUGGUCCGCAAAAAACCUUACCACAAUUUGAAUAGAAAAUUUUUUUUUUCAUACAAGCGCUGCACGGUUGUCUUCAGUUAAUGUCGUGAGAUCUUGGUUAGUUCCAUUAAAUUAACGUAAACCCUUACUUUAUUUUUAUAUAGAGUAGUUCACCGCUAGAUUGGAUGUGAUAACAGGGACUAAGACAAGUCAUCAUGGCCUUAAUAUUGUGGGCUAUAGACGUGCCACAUAUGCCUUACAAAGGGAUG